GUAACGCGUGGGUAACCUGCCUUAUACAGGGGGAGUAACAACCAGAAAUGGUUGCUAAUACCGCAUAAGCGCACAGGACCGCAUGGUCCGGUGUGAAAAACUCCGGUGGUAUAAGAUGGACCCGCGUUGGAUUAGCUAGUUGGCAGGGUAACGGCCUACCAAGGCGACGAUCCAUAGCCGGCCUGAGAGGGUGAACGGCCACAUUGGGACUGAGACACGGCCCAGACUCCUACGGGAGGCAGCAUG
This 246-nucleotide ribosomal RNA is filed under the name uncultured bacterium. Its description in RNAcentral is "partial 16S ribosomal RNA". It matches the Rfam family "Bacterial small subunit ribosomal RNA", at positions 110 to 353 of the family's 1533-position model. The record is from RNAcentral.